AACGACUCUCGGCAACGGAUAUCUCGGCUCUCGCAUCGAUGAAGAACGCAGCGAAAUGCGAUACUUGGUGUGAAUUGCAGAAUCCCGCGAACCAUCGAGUUUUUGAACGCAAGUUGCGCCCAAAGCCGUCAGGCCGAGGGCACGUCUGCCUGGGUGUCACGC
This 162-nucleotide ribosomal RNA is filed under the name Croton hutchinsonianus. Its description in RNAcentral is "5.8S ribosomal RNA". It matches the Rfam family "5.8S ribosomal RNA". From Rfam's summary of the family: 5.8S ribosomal RNA (5.8S rRNA) is a component of the large subunit of the eukaryotic ribosome. It is transcribed by RNA polymerase I as part of the 45S precursor that also contains 18S and 28S rRNA. Lineage: Eukaryota; Viridiplantae; Streptophyta; Magnoliopsida; Malpighiales; Euphorbiaceae. The record is from RNAcentral. RNAcentral also lists the same sequence under 7 other names.